RNAcentral lists this long non-coding RNA (568 nucleotides) under Malus domestica (apple). RNAcentral's name for it is "long non-coding RNA (MDOM_LNC000277)". Lineage: Eukaryota; Viridiplantae; Streptophyta; Magnoliopsida; Rosales; Rosaceae. The record is from RNAcentral.
GUAUAAAUGAUGAUUGAAAUAAUUGUGAUUGAAUUAUUUCAUAAACUUAUCUUACAUACACUUGCAUGUUUUUGACAAAACUCACAAAUCAACACACACACCAACCUUAUCCCUCCCCAAAACCAGCCACUCCCUCAAAGGGAGUACUUUUGGGGCUUUUAUGCAAUUACAUAAAGUUUUGAUACUUUUGUGUAUUUGCACUUUGGCCCAAAAGUUUACGUUUUUACGUUAAGGUCCAAAAACGCUAAAGGACAAAUUGUUUUGAUCCUUUAAUGAUGUUUUUGCAUUAUUAAAAGUUUGGGUUCUAGUUGUAUUUACAUGAAGUUGUGACUUUUGUGUAUUAUACAAAGUGACCCCAAAAGUUUUUUGUUUUUGCAAUAUGGCCCAAAAGUUGAGGUUAAUUGCAUGAUGGCACAAAUAGGAUGAGAACAAAAUUGUUUUGUCUCUUUAAAUGAGAAUUGGAUUUUCAUUUUGUUUAGCUCCAUUUAAAUCAAUCUUAUGGAUACAAAAACCAAAUGAAAAUGUUGCAUUCAAUUAAUUAGUUAAAGUGUUAAUUAAUUAAAGGGUG